Solenopsis invicta (red fire ant) is the source of this 616-nucleotide long non-coding RNA. RefSeq lists it as uncharacterized. The record is from RefSeq and is a predicted model, not a curated record. NCBI's taxonomy places the organism in Eukaryota, Metazoa, Arthropoda, Insecta, Hymenoptera, Formicidae. The transcript has 2 exons.
AUAAUAACGCGUUAUGCAUACCGCAUGCCAUAGUAAUUGUAUAGCAACGACAAAGUCUUCUACGAAAACAAUCAAACCUGAUUACCAUCCACCGGGGAUACAUCCGAUUGUUCGAAAUUGAACGAGAUAUUAACAAGAAGUUUCACGUACCGAUCAUAAUUCGUAAGACACUGAUAAAAAUCGCUUAUCAUCGUUAUCGAAACUUGUGUCUCAUACGGCCUGUCGAUGUCCGCAGUACGUACAAACGUGUCUUUUAUCUUUGUACAGGUAUAUUUCCUAUAACUGUGUGCAAUACAACACAUUAGUAUAAUACAAUAUUUGUGCAUGUAAUACAUUAACAGAUCAAAUAAAAAUAAUCGAAUACCUUCACUCAACUGUUCAUACUACAAGACAGUAACAAGUGUGUUGUAACUAGGAACCAUUGGAUUUCCGAGAUGCCUUUGGUGUGACUCUCCCAUGUGUGAAUUUGCACCUUUGGUAAGCAACAAUCAGGUGAUGAUUCUGAUCUGAGGUUCAUGCCUACAUCCUGCUUGCAAGAAUAAACAUCCUUGAUAAUUCACACUGUCUUGGACUGUAAUAUAAAAUUAAUAAAUAUUAUAAAUAUAUUUCCAAUCAA